UUGCACCUAGUGGCGAACGGGUGAGUAACACGUAACUAACCUACCUUUUAGUGGGGGAUAACAGUUGGAAACGACUGCUAAUACCGCAUACGACACCAUUAUGGCAUCAGAAGGUGUUAAAAGGCCCGUUUGGGUCGCUAGAAGAUGGGGAUGCGGCGUAUUAGCUAGUAGGUGGGGUAAUUGCCCACCUAGGCAAUGAUACGUAGCCGAACUGAGAGGUUGAUCGGCCACAUUGGGACUGAGAUACGGCCCAGACUCCUACGGGAGGCAGCAGUAGGGAAUUUUUCACAAUGGACGAAAGUCUGAUGAAGCAAUGCCGCGUGAGUGAUGACGGUCUUCGGAUUGUAAAGCUCUGUUGUAAGGGAAGAAUAGGUAAAAGAGGAAAUGCUUUUAUUUUGACGGUACCUUACCAGAAAGCCACGGCUAACUAUGUGCCAGCAGCCGCGGUAAUACAUAGGUGGCAAGCGUUAUCCGGAUUUAUUGGGCGUACAGGGUGCGUAGGCGGUUCGAUAAGUUUGAGGUUCAAUCCCCGGGGCUCAACCCCCGGUUCGCCUUGAAAAACUGUCUUACCAGACACACAGGAAAAGGUAGAUGGAAAUUCCCAUGUGCAGCGGAGAAAUGCAUAGAUAAAAGGAAGAAAGCAGCAGGGGCGUGGGCGGUCUACUGGCCUGUUAUUGACCCUGAAGCUACGAAAGCGUGGGGGAGUAAAACGAAUACAACCCCUACUCCUCCCGCCCGAACCCGUU
Molecule: ribosomal RNA, 746 nt
Filed under: uncultured bacterium
Lineage: Bacteria
Description: bacterial SSU rRNA
Rfam family: Bacterial small subunit ribosomal RNA
Source: RNAcentral